RNAcentral lists this non-coding RNA (31 nucleotides) under Rattus norvegicus (Norway rat). The record is from RNAcentral. Lineage: Eukaryota; Metazoa; Chordata; Mammalia; Rodentia; Muridae.
UGCAAUUUUUUCACUAAUUUCCAUACUGGCA